This is a long non-coding RNA of Calidris pygmaea (Spoon-billed sandpiper), 1839 nucleotides long. The record is from Ensembl. Lineage: Eukaryota; Metazoa; Chordata; Aves; Charadriiformes; Scolopacidae.
AUGGGGCCUGGUCUUGACACCAACAUGGGACCUGGUCUCGGAGCUGCCGUCAGCCACGGUCUUGGAGGCAACGUUGGGGCCAACGUUGACCCUGGGCUUGGAGUGAACGUUGGACGUGGUCUUGGAGACGGUGUUGGACACGGUCUGGGCGCCGCCGGUGGCACCGGAGCGGGGAUGGGCGUAGGAGCCGGCAUCAGGGUGGACGUUGGCCUCGGGGUGGCAGCCGGCGCUGACGUUGGCCCCAACCUCGGGGCUGACAUUGGAGCUGCUCUGGGAGCUGGCGACAACGGAGAAGACGUUGGAGCUGGUCUCCAAGCCAACGGCGGAGGAGAUGGUCUUGGAGCUGGCGUCGCACUCAGCGUCGGGGCCAACGUGGGGCCCGCUCUGGGUGGUGGCAUCAGAGCCAGCGUCGGGCUGGGCAUCGGGGCCGUGGGGCCCGCUCUUCCAUCCGAUGUGGGUGCUGGCGUCGGACUCGCCAUCGGAGCCAACGUCGGAGCCAACGUUGGUUCAAGUCUUGGAUCUGCUGGUGGACUCGGCCUUGGGGCCGCUCUUGGAGCCAACGUUGGCUCCGCCCUUUCAUCCAGCGUCGGAUCCGGCGUCGGACUCGCCGUCGGAGCCAACGUUGGUUCUUCUCUUGGAUCCGGUGUCGGACUCGCCGUCGGAGCUGCCGUCGGAGCCAAUGUUGGUUCUUCUCUUGGAUCCAGUGUCGGACUCGCUGUCGGAGCUGGUGUUGGAGCCAACGUUGGCUCUUCUCUUGGAUCCGGUGUUGGCUCCGGUCUCGGAUCCGGCGUUGGACUCACCAUCGGAGCCAACGUUGGUUCUUCUCUUGGCUCAAGUGUCGGACUCACCGUCGGAGCUGGUGUCGGAGCCAACGUUGGCUCUUCUCUUGGAACUGGUGUUGGACUUGCCUCUGGAGCCAACGUUGCCUCCAGUCUUGGAUCCGGUGUUGGACUCACCAUCGGAGCCAACAUUGGUUCUUCUCUUGGAUCUGAAGUUGGACUCACCAUCGGAGCCGGCGUCGGAGCCAACGUUGGUUCUUCUCUUGCAUCAAGUGUUGGACUCACCGUUGGAGCCAACAUUGGUUCUUCUCUUGGAUCAAGCGUUGGACUCGCCGUUGGAGCCAACAUUGGUUCUUCUCUUGCAUCAAACGUUGGACUCGCCGUUGGAGCCAACGUUGGUUCUUCUCUUGGAUCAAGCGUUGGACUCGCCGUCGGAGCCAACGUUGGCUCUUCCCUCGCAUCCGACGUCGACGUUGGGGUUGGACUCGCUGUCGGAGCCAAUGUUGGCUCUUCCCUCGCAUCCGACGUCGCAUCCGGCGUCGGACUCGGCAUGGGAGCCGCCGUCGGAGCCAACCUCGGUGCCAGCGUCGCUUCCGGCCUCGGAUCCGGCGCGGGAUUGGGCCUCGGAGCCAACGUCGGCCCCGCUCCCGCAUCCGACGUCGCCGGUGGCUCCGCGUUGGGAUUCGCCGUCGGAGCCGCUCUCGGAGCCAACGUUGGCCUUUCCCUGGGGGCCACCAAUGGGGAAUCUCCUCUUGGACUGGGGGGCGGAGCCAAUAUGGCCGCCGAUGUCCCAUCCGGUGUCCCAUCCGCCGUGGGAGCCACCCUUGGCCUUGGCCCCAACCUUGACCCUCCUCUUGGCCCCGCUCUUGGAACCACCGGCCUCGGGACCACCCUCGGCCCCUCCUUGGGUCCCCCCAUGGGGGCCGCCGUGGGGCUGGCGGUGGGCCCCCCCCGUUUAAGUUCGGGCUUGGGGGUCCCCGAAACGCCGGGGGGAGCCACCGAAACUUGGACCCCCCCUUACACCCCCCGCCAAGCUCCACCUUUCGCUUUCGGACCCCCC